This 446-nucleotide ribosomal RNA is filed under the name uncultured bacterium. Its description in RNAcentral is "SSU rRNA". It matches the Rfam family "Bacterial small subunit ribosomal RNA", at positions 26 to 518 of the family's 1533-position model. The record is from RNAcentral.
AGAGCGAACGCUGGCGGCAGGCCUAACACAUGCAAGUCGAGCGCCCGUAGCAAUACGGGAGCGGCAGACGGGAUAGUAACACGUGGGAACGCGCCCUUCGGUUCGGAAUAACUCAGGGAAACUUGAGCUAAUACCGGAUACGCCCUUACGGGGAAAGAUUUAUUGCCGAAGGAACGGCCCGCGUCCGAUUAGCUAGUUGGUGAGGUAAUGGCUCACCAAGGCGACGAUCGGUAGCUGGUCUGAGAGGAUGACCAGCAUCACUGGGACUGAGACACGGCCCAGACUCCUACGGGAGGCAGCAGUGGGGAAUAUUGGACAAUGGGCGCAAGCCUGAUCCAGCCAUGCCGCGUGGAUGAUGAAGGCCCUAGGGUUGUAAAGUCCUUUCGACGGGAAGAUAAUGACGGUACCGUAGAAGAAGCCCCGGCUAACUUCGUGCCAGCAGCCGC